Theobroma cacao (cacao) is the source of this 1024-nucleotide non-coding RNA. The record is from RefSeq and is a predicted model, not a curated record. Lineage: Eukaryota; Viridiplantae; Streptophyta; Magnoliopsida; Malvales; Malvaceae.
UCAACCAAAACAAGAAGUCCAGCUCCAAGGCUACAAACAGUGAUUUAGUGGAAGGUCUUAAUCAAGUAAAUAUGUAUGACUGUGUGUGCUUGUCUCUGUAGCUUCUUUUUCCUUUUUUUUUUUGUUUCACUCCUUUACUUGACUGAUGCAAUUUACUGAUUGAUAUGUUGGGAACAACAUUCAACUGUCAUUUGAACAUGUGAUGUUUCAUGCUUGUUAUUCUCUCGUCAUAAAAGACUAUAAUCAAUCACCCCAGAUGAUAUGGGGAGAAGAUAAAUUUGAUCUGUGACAUAUUGCUAACAUCAUUUUCAGAUUCCAGAGGCCACAUUCUUCUCAUCUUCUUCCGUGCUUUAGGAUUUAUGAGAUCUCUUCUGAUGGGUCCCUUGAAAGAAUAAUAAUUGAUGAGAGCACCUUUGUUUGUGUGACUUUUGAUUCACUGGACCUUCUGCUACUGACCUAAAAAUACCAGGGGGCCGGUUGGCAUCAUCCCAGAAUCUCCUUUACUUGCUAUGGAAUAUAUUAAAGCAAGAAAGGAGGUUCAAGUACAGCAGCUGGAUAAAGAGAAAGGUACUUCAAUAACUCUUCUUUCUUUCCUUGUUUUUCAAACAUUCGGGCCACAUAUCAUAAAAACCUGUCUGAUAAAUUUUUAUUCCUUUCUUUUGAAUAUGAACUAUGAGCUUGCCACUGAGGAAUUAUAGUUCCAGAGGGAAGAAGCUGAUGCUUGCUUAGGAAGAACCCUUCUUUGGUGUGAAGAUGGACCCCACCACUUGUUGGUCCACCAUGUUGAUUUCAUUGUUAAAUUUCUUUUGUUGAGCAGAAGGAUGACGGUAACAAUCUGAUCAGUGGACGUUCCACUCUAUGCUUACUGAUUUGUAUCCAACUAACUGCAUAUUAAAAUUGUAGUGAGUCAACUGCUUGGGAUCUUUUCAUUGGUAAAGUCGUGUAUUCAAGCAAAUCCUGGAGAAAACGUUGGACAUAUCCUCUUACUUCUUUAAUUAAUUGAAGCAGCCUUAUUGCUUUUCUA